RNAcentral lists this ribosomal RNA (467 nucleotides) under uncultured bacterium. Its description in RNAcentral is "bacterial SSU rRNA". It matches the Rfam family "Bacterial small subunit ribosomal RNA", at positions 329 to 793 of the family's 1533-position model. The record is from RNAcentral.
UCCCAGACUCCUACGGGAGGCAGCAGUGAGGAAUAUUGGUCAAUGGGCUUACGCCUGAACCAGCCAAGUCGCGUGAGGGAAGACUGCCCUAUGGGUUGUAAACCUCUUUUGUCAGGGAGCAAUUGGCGCUACGUGUAGCGUUAUCGAGAGUACCUGAAGAAAAAGCAUCGGCUAACUCCGUGCCAGCAGCCGCGGUAAUACGGAGGAUGCGAGCGUUAUCCGGAUUUAUUGGGUUUAAAGGGUGCGUAGGCGGGAUGCAAAGUCAGCGGUAAAAUACGGGGGCUCAACCUGCGUCCGCCGUUGAAACUGGCGUUCUUGAGUGGGCGAGAAGUACGCGGAAUGCGUGGUGUAGCGGUGAAAUGCAUAGAUAUCACGCAGAACCCCGAUUGCGAAGGCAGCGUACCGGCGCCCAACUGACGCUGAAGCACGAAAGCGUGGGUAUCGAACAGGAUUAGAUACCCGCGUAC